UAUGACACAAACGAGACAUCGUGGACUUACAACACAACAAAGCGCACAAUUCAUCUCUGUGUCGGGGACACAACCUAUAAUAUAACGGACAACAAUGUUACAUAUAUUAGGCAUUCCAAACAAGGUGACAGUGAAGUUAACGCAACGCUCACGGGGAAAUUUUUUCAUAAGUGGAAGCGCCAAAACGAACACAGAAGCCACAUGGGAGACCAAUACAACGCUAUGGAUGUAUAUGAAGAUGGAGAAUACUGGUGGACUGAGAGACUUGAAUAUAUGAGCUCAGACAGAAAGUGUGGAGUGUUCACUGUCGUGGUUCCUCUGGGCA
Rhipicephalus microplus (southern cattle tick) is the source of this 325-nucleotide long non-coding RNA. NCBI's taxonomy places the organism in Eukaryota, Metazoa, Arthropoda, Arachnida, Ixodida, Ixodidae. The record is from RefSeq and is a predicted model, not a curated record.